Molecule: ribosomal RNA, 851 nt
Filed under: uncultured organism
Description: SSU rRNA
Rfam family: Bacterial small subunit ribosomal RNA
Source: RNAcentral
UCAACCAUAGAAUUGCCGUUGAAACUGGGAGGCUUGAGUAUGUUUGAGGCAGGCGGAAUGCGUGGUGUAGCGGUGAAAUGCUUAGAUAUCACGCAGAACCCCGAUUGCGAAGGCAGCCUGCCAAGCCAUUACUGACGCUGAUGCACGAAAGCGUGGGGAUCAAACAGGAUUAGAUACCCUGGUAGUCCACGCAGUAAACGAUGAUCACUAGCUGUUUGCGAUACACUGUAAGCGGCACAGCGAAAGCGUUAAGUGAUCCACCUGGGGAGUACGCCGGCAACGGUGAAACUCAAAGGAAUUGACGGGGGCCCGCACAAGCGGAGGAACAUGUGGUUUAAUUCGAUGAUACGCGAGGAACCUUACCCGGGUUUGAACGCAUUUUGACAGCUCUGGAAACAGAGCCUCUAGCAAUAGCGAUUUGCGAGGUGCUGCAUGGUUGUCGUCAGCUCGUGCCGUGAGGUGUCGGCUUAAGUGCCAUAACGAGCGCAACCCUUGCCACUAGUUACUAACAGGUAAAGCUGAGGACUCUGGUGGGACUGCCAGCGUAAGCUGCGAGGAAGGCGGGGAUGACGUCAAAUCAGCACGGCCCUUACAUCCGGGGCGACACACGUGUUACAAUGGCGUGGACAAAGGGAGGCCACCUGGCGACAGGGAGCGAAUCCCCAAACCACGUCUCAGUUCGGAUCGGAGUCUGCAACCCGACUCCGUGAAGCUGGAUUCGCUAGUAAUCGCGCAUCAGCCAUGGCGCGGUGAAUACGUUCCCGGGCCUUGUACACACCGCCCGUCAAGCCAUGGGAGCCGGGGGUACCUGAAGUCCGUAAAAGAAAGGAUCGGCCUAGGGUAAAACUGGU